RNAcentral lists this unclassified non-coding RNA (376 nucleotides) under uncultured bacterium. RNAcentral describes it as "contains 16S-23S intergenic spacer region". The record is from RNAcentral.
UCCGGUUUGUCACCGGCAGUCUCCUAUGAGUCCCCAACUGAAUGCUGGCAACAUAGGACGGGGGUUGCGCUCGUUGCGGGACUUAACCCAACAUCUCACGGCACGAGCUGACGACAGCCAUGCACCACCUGUGAAACUGUCCCGAAGGAAGACCGUGUUUCCACGGCUGUCAGUAACAUGUCAAGCCCAGGUAAGGUUCUUCGCGUUGCAUCGAAUUAAACCACAUGCUCCGCUGCUUGUACGGGCCCCCGUCAAUUCCUUUGAGUUUUAGUCUUGCGACCGUACUUCCCAGGCGGAUGACUUCGCGCGUUAGCUGCGUUACUAAGGGAUUUAACUCCCCCAACAACUAGUCAUCAUCGUUUAGGGCGUGGACUAC